This is an RNA transcript of Salvia miltiorrhiza (redroot sage), 2110 nucleotides long. RefSeq lists it as uncharacterized. The transcript has 5 exons. The record is from RefSeq and is a predicted model, not a curated record. NCBI's taxonomy places the organism in Eukaryota, Viridiplantae, Streptophyta, Magnoliopsida, Lamiales, Lamiaceae.
CCAACCUCUCACAAUCUCGGAAGCUGAAUUCCACCCGUCAAGAGCUGAAGUUUAACUAAUGUGAGUUCAAGAUAGCAACUGCAAAUUCGAACAACUGAAAAAGGACUAAGAAACAAUACUAAAACAAGAAAACUAGAGUUUCAACUCUUACAAAUUCAAUCUGUCACACAGAAAAAGUACAAUUUCUAACUCUGAAAUAGUUUCUACAGAUUCACUGAUUUAAUCUAAUCAUCGAAAAUCAAUCCCCAAAAAUAUUUCCCGUCGCACUUUCUAAUCAUGUCCACGCGCCGCCGGUCAUCACUCAUCUCCGCUGCAGCACUCCUCCUCCUCCUCCUCCUUCUCUCACCUCUCUCCACCGCCAACCCCCAAGAAUCCGACCCCAUAUCCCGCUUCCAAAACUACCUAAGAAUCAACACCGCUCACCCCAAUCCAAACUACACCGGCGCCGUCGAGUACCUCGCCGCCUUCGCCGCCACGAUCCCCACCCUCCAAAGCCGAACCCUCCACCUCACCACCCCUGACAAGCCCCUCCUCCUCAUCACCUGGCCCGGCUCAAACCCUUCGCUUCCUUCAAUCCUCCUCAAUUCCCACCUCGAUUCCGUCCCCGCCGAGCCCUCCAAGUGGCUGCACCCCCCCUUCGCCGCCCACCGCGCCGCCGACGGCCGAAUCUACGCUCGCGGUGCCCAGGACGACAAGUGCAUCGGUAUGCAGUACCUGGAAGCAAUCCGGGAGUUUAAAAAAUCGAAUCUUGAUCACACCCCACUUCGCACCGUGCACAUUUCCUACGUCCCAGAAGAGGAAAUCGGCGGAUUUGAUGGGAUGAUGAAGUUUGUUGAGAGUGAAGAGUUUCAAGAAUUGAAUGUUGGGUUUGUGCUGGAUGAAGGGCAGGCCUCUGUUGGGGAAGAGUUCAGGGUGUUCUAUGCCGACAGGUCGCCGUGGCACGUCGUGAUCAGGGCGCGGGGCCCACCCGGCCACGGCUCGAGGAUGUACGACGGCGGCGCCAUGGAGAAUUUGAUGAAGAGUGUGGAGAUGAUGAUGAAGUUCAGGGAGAAUAGCUUUGAGUUGGUUAAGGCAGGUUUGGCUGUGAAUUCGGAGGUUAUUUCGGUUAAUCCUGUGUUCUUGAAUGCUGGGAUUCAGUCUAAUGAUGGGUUUGUGAUGAACUUGCAGCCGUCUGAGGCAGAGGCCGGUUUUGAUAUCCGGCUGAUUCCCACCGCGGAUCCUGACCUCUUGAGGAGAAGGAUCGCUGAGGAGUGGGCGCCGGCUUGGAGGAACAUGACUUAUGAGAUAACAGAAAAGGGUCCUCUAAGAGACUUCAAAGGCCGCCCUCUGAUGACAGCAACGGAUGAUUCCAAUCCAUGGUGGGCCGUGUUCAACCAAGCCAUUGCAGCUGCGGGGGGAAAGCUUGCAAGGCCUGAAAUCCUAGCUUCAACUACGGAUGCUAGGUUCAUGAGACAGUUGGGAAUUCCUACCCUUGGAUUCUCUCCAAUGAAGAAUACUCCCAUAUUGCUUCAUGACCAUAAUGAGUUUCUCAAGGAUAGUGUAUACUUAGACGGGAUUAGGGUUUAUGAGCACGUAAUCAGAUUCUUGAGCUCCUUCGAUGGAUGAGGACUCGAGCAAUGGUAUGAUACUGGCAUCCUCAAAGCCUCUUUUCGUUCCAUUACAAAUAAACUAUAGAAUCGCUUAUAUCUUCUUGCAAUGUGUGAAUUAUAUGAGUUGAACAUUACACACAGUUACACGCACUCAUGUUGAUUCGCUGUAUAUACAUCGGAUGCAGCAAAGAAUACGCGCUUCCAAAGUCAUGUCGGCUGCCCGGCUCACUCGCUUGUGCUUGGACUUAGGUAUGUUGUAUGUGUUUUUCUGCAAUUUUUCUGCAUUUUGACUCUUCUUGAAACUUUGUAGAAAAGCCAUAUCUUGAUAGUCAAGAGAAGCUUGCUUUUGACCCGAAUGAGUCAAGCUUUUGUUGGUAUUUUCUCUAAAGUCAAGAAUGGAUUGUGUUUUACUGUGUUGUGUUACCUGAAGAAGUUAACAUUUUACUGAUAAUUUUUACCCCAAGUCAAGAAUGAGAUUUUCUUGUUUUGACUUUUGAUUAUAGAUCAAGAAUUUGAAUAAA